This 1400-nucleotide ribosomal RNA is filed under the name metagenome. RNAcentral's name for it is "SSU rRNA". It matches the Rfam family "Eukaryotic small subunit ribosomal RNA", at positions 483 to 1793 of the family's 1831-position model. The record is from RNAcentral.
GCUCCGGGCCCAUCGGGCCACGGAUAUUGGGAUGGGAACAACGUAAAGCGUUUAUCGAAAGCAACUGGAGGGCAAGUCUGGUGCCAGCAGCCGCGGUAAUUCCAGCUCCAGUAGCGUAUACUAAAGUUGCUGCGGUUAAAAAGCUCGUAGUUGAAGGUCGGCGAUGCGGUGGGACGUGACUCUGCGAAGAAGCGGGGGAAGCGGAAACGGCAUUGCCUAAGCCGGGGAGGCGUACCUGCACUUAACUGGGCGGGGGCGUGGCUUCGGCGGAUUACCUUGAGGAAAAUAGAGUGUUCAAAGCAGGCGGUACAACUGCCGUGAAUAAGUUAGCAUGGAAUAAUGAAAGAGGACGCUGGUUCUAAGCACGGGCGGCGCAAGUCGCUCCUUAGGCGGGAAGCUUUUGGUAGAGAGGACCGGAGUAAUGAUUAAUAGGGACAGUUGGGGGCAUUAGUAUUCCGUAGUCAGAGGUGAAAUUCAAGGAUUUACGGAAGACUAACUACUGCGAGAGCAUCUCCCAAGGAUGUUUUCAUUAAUCAAGAACGAAAGUUUGGGGAUCGAAGACGAUCAGAUACCGUCGUAGUCCAAACCAUAAACUAUGCCGACUCGGGAUUGGUGUGCGCACACGCGAGGCCACGCCAGGACCGUAAGAGAAAUCAAAGUUAUUGGGUUCCGGGGGGAGUAUGGUCGCAAGGCUGAAACUUAAAGGAAUUGACGGUAGGGCACCACCAGGAGUGGAGCUUGCGGCUUAAUUCAACAACACGGGAAAACUUACCAGGUCCAGACACGGGAAGGAUUGACAGAUUGAGAGCUCUUUCUUGAUUCCGUGAGUGGUGGUGCAUGGCCGUUCUUAGUUGGUGGAGUGAUUUGUCUGCUUAAUUGCGAUAACGAACGAGACCUUAGCCUCUAAAUAGUUACCCGCACACCGGGCCCCGUUAGGCUUUGUUGGGGGGUGCAAUGCACACUCUGGCGAGGCUGUGAGGCCGCUGGGUUGCGAGGGACAACUUCUUAGAGGGACGGCCGGUGGUUAACCGGAGGAAGCGUUAGGCAAUAACAGGUCUGUGAUGCCCUUAGAUGUUCUGGGCCGCACGCGCGCUACAAUGAUGAAGUCAACAAGUGUGGACUCCUAGGCCGAAAGGUCCGGGUAAUCUUCCGAAACUUCAUCGUGCUGGGGAUUGACGUUUGCAAUUAUGCGUCAUGAACGAGGGAUUCCUAGUAAGCGCAAGUCAUCAUCUUGCGUUGAUUACGUCCCUGCCCUUUGUACACACCGCCCGUCGCUCCUACCGAUUGAAUCAUUCGGCGAAAUCCCCGGACCGUGCGCUGCUGGGGUCCCUUUUGGGGCCUUGCGCGGCUGCAGCGGGAAGCUGAUUAAACCUCAUGAUUCAGAGGAAGGAGAAGUCGUA